Molecule: ribosomal RNA, 460 nt
Filed under: uncultured bacterium
Lineage: Bacteria
Description: partial 16S ribosomal RNA
Rfam family: Bacterial small subunit ribosomal RNA
Source: RNAcentral
CCUACGGGUGGCUGCAGUGAGGAAUAUUGGUCAAUGGACGAGAGUCUGAACCAGCCAAGUAGCGUGAAGGAUGACUGCCCUAUGGGUUGUAAACUUCUUUUAUAUGGGAAUAAAACGUUCCACGUGUGGGAUUUUGUAUGUACCAUAUGACUAAGGAUCGGCUAACUCCGUGCCAGCAGCCGCGGUAAUACGGAGGAUCCGAGCGUUAUCCGGAUUUAUUGGGUUUAAAGGGAGCGUAGGUGGAUUGUUAAGUCAGUUGUGAAAGUUUGCGGCGCAACCGUAAAAUUGCAGUUGAAACUGGCAGUCUUGAGUACAGUAGAGGUGGGCGGAAUUCGUGGUGUAGCGGUGAAAUGCUUAGAUAUCACGAAGAACUCCGAUUGCGAAGGCAGUUCACUGGACUGCAACUGACACUGAGGCUCGAAAGUGUGGGUAUCAAACAGGAUUAGAUACCCUUGUAGUC